AAUAAGAAAUCAAACCCAAUCAAGAUAUCAACCUUACCUCAAACCCUCUGCCGAUUUCUGAUUUAAACCUCAAUCUCAGUUGUACGUUUUCAAAAAUGGUGAGGACCGAGUUGUCUGCGAAGGCAAAGAAUAAAGUAAGUGCAUGCUUAAUGAAGUAGGAACUGUAAAUAAGCAAGAUGAAAAAUUAGAGUCUCUUCAUUUGCAGAGAGACACUUAAAUGGCGAACAGUGGAAUGAUGGACUAUUAUCUACAGUUAGGAAGCGGGUUCACAUGGAGUUAGAAAGAAAAGCAAUGCAGGGGGAUGCUAGCAUGGCAUUGAAUUCUCACUUCCAUGGGAAAAUUACUUAUAGAGCAGGAAAUAAGUGUUUACGUUGGGAUGAGCUAGAAGGGGAUUAUCACAAAGUCUUGGCGAGGUGAUCCCUUGCACUAUUCUCUGCCAGGAACAGGGCAAAUUAGUUCUCAAUAGGAAUCUGCAACAAAUGUCCAGAAUAUAGUUUUCCAAGGGAGGAACAAUUCCCAAAUCCUUAACAUAACGGAAGGAUUUAAGUAAUAGGAGCAGUGCAUUAGCCGAAAUGACUCAAAUCAGUUGGAAAUUGUCCGUUAAUUUAGUCUCCAUUUAGUGUUGCCUUCAUCAUCCUCAAAGAUAUCAACCUUCACAUCACUCAGCACUGGUGGUGGGAGUGUAAACAAUGGUGGAAGCUUCUUUCCAUUACUUUGGAUGGGUGGUAAUAUCAAUGAACAAAGUACCAUGCUUAGUUCAGCUUGGGAUUAACCCACUGGAUUAGGGUCUUCACGUGAGGGUUUUGGACUGCAUAUCAAGAAGGCCCUUAGAGGUGUGAAGGUUGAAGUAACUCAUGGAGGAAGUAUGAGCAGACUUAUGGGUUUUCUAUUCAAUGAACACAUUUUCCCUGUUUGCAAGUUAGAAAUCAACAAAGGCCAAAUCAUAUUUCCAUGGAGGUUUGUAAAAUUGUGGAGGGUCAAAGGUACUCGAAAAG
Molecule: long non-coding RNA, 995 nt
Organism: Papaver somniferum (opium poppy)
Lineage: Eukaryota; Viridiplantae; Streptophyta; Magnoliopsida; Ranunculales; Papaveraceae
Exons: 7
Source: RefSeq, a predicted model, not a curated record